Non-coding RNA from Arachis ipaensis, 444 nucleotides. NCBI's taxonomy places the organism in Eukaryota, Viridiplantae, Streptophyta, Magnoliopsida, Fabales, Fabaceae. The record is from RefSeq and is a predicted model, not a curated record.
AGGAUAUGAAUUAAAUUUCUGAACUUACUGAUAUGAAAACACAUUUUUAUUUCCUCGUCUUCUUACUUGUUCUUUUCAUGGAUUUUGGUAAUAACCAAAUACAGGUAGCAGAAGGCAUAAUAACAUGCGUAGCUGUUAUAGGGGAACAAUAUUGUCCAGACAUUACGAAAUGUCGAAAUGCUUGCAAAUUUUUUCAUUUUAACGAUUUGACGUAUGCAGAAUGUAUUCCAAACAAAGGAUGCGCUUGUACUUUUAUAAAUCCAGAUCAAACUAAACCAUGUCCACAUGCUGCUAAUUUGUUAUAACUAGAACAGUCAUAUACAUUAUUUAGUUGUUAAUCCUUUUUGGGUGGCGUUCUAAUAAUGGUGAAUAAAAUGAUGACUGUAUUAUGUUAUCUACUAUAUAUCUAUCUAUCAAAGUAAUAAUUAAAUAGUGGUUGUACUA